GCAGUCGAACGGCAGCGCGGGGCAACCUGGCGGCGAGUGGCGAACGGGUGAGUAAUAUAUCGGAACGUGCCCUGGAGUGGGGGAUAACGCAGCGAAAUUUACGCUAAUACCGCAUACGAUCUAAGGAUGAAAGCGGGGGACCGUAAGGCCUCGCGCGAUUGGAGCGGCUGAUAUCAGAUUAGGUUGUUGGUGAGGUAAAAGCUCACCAAGCCGACGAUCUGUAGCUGGUUUGAGAGAACGACCAGCCACACUGGGACUGAGACACGGCCCAGACUCCUACGGGAGGCAGCAGUGGGGAAUUUUGGACAAUGGGCGAAAGCCUGAUCCAGCAAUGCCGCGCGCAGGAAGAAGGCCUUCGGGUUGUAAACUGCUUUUGUACGGAACGAAAAGGUCUGCCCUAAUACGGCGGGCCCAUGACGGUACCGUAAGAAUAAGCACCGGCUAACUACGUGCCAGCAGCCGCGGUAAUACGUAGGGUGCGAGCGUUAAUCGGGAUUACUGGGCGUAAAGCGUGCGCAGGCGGUGAUGUAAGACAGUUGUGAAAUCCCCGGGCUCAACCUGGGAAUUGCAUCUGUGACUGCAUCGCUAGAGUACGGUAGAGGGGGAUGGAAUUCCGCGUGUAGCAGUGAAAUGCGUAGAUAUGCGGAGGAACACCGAUGGCGAAGGCAAUCCCCUGGACCUGUACUGACGCUCAUGCACGAAAGCGUGG
RNAcentral lists this ribosomal RNA (709 nucleotides) under uncultured bacterium. RNAcentral describes it as "bacterial SSU rRNA". It matches the Rfam family "Bacterial small subunit ribosomal RNA", at positions 57 to 764 of the family's 1533-position model. The record is from RNAcentral.